RNAcentral lists this ribosomal RNA (442 nucleotides) under Salmonella enterica subsp. enterica serovar Typhimurium. Its description in RNAcentral is "bacterial SSU rRNA". It matches the Rfam family "Bacterial small subunit ribosomal RNA", at positions 1099 to 1533 of the family's 1533-position model. Lineage: Bacteria; Pseudomonadati; Pseudomonadota; Gammaproteobacteria; Enterobacterales; Enterobacteriaceae. The record is from RNAcentral.
CAACCCUUAUCCUUUGUUGCCAGCGAUUAGGUCGGGAACUCAAAGGAGACUGCCAGUGAUAAACUGGAGGAAGGUGGGGAUGACGUCAAGUCAUCAUGGCCCUUACGACCAGGGCUACACACGUGCUACAAUGGCGCAUACAAAGAGAAGCGACCUCGCGAGAGCAAGCGGACCUCAUAAAGUGCGUCGUAGUCCGGAUUGGAGUCUGCAACUCGACUCCAUGAAGUCGGAAUCGCUAGUAAUCGUGGAUCAGAAUGCCACGGUGAAUACGUUCCCGGGCCUUGUACACACCGCCCGUCACACCAUGGGAGUGGGUUGCAAAAGAAGUAGGUAGCUUAACCUUCGGGAGGGCGCUUACCACUUUGUGAUUCAUGACUGGGGUGAAGUCGUAACAAGGUAACCGUAGGGGAACCUGCGGUUGGAUCACCUCCUUACCUUAAAG